UACGGGGGGGGCAAGCGUUGUUCGGAAUUACUGGGCGUAAAGGGCUCGUAGGCGGCCAACUAAGUCAGACGUGAAAUCCCUCGGCUUAACCGGGGAACUGCGUCUGAUACUGGAUGGCUUGAGUUUGGGAGAGGGAUGCGGAAUUCCAGGUGUAGCGGUGAAAUGCGUAGAUAUCUGGAGGAACACCGGUGGCGAAGGCGGCAUUCUGGACUGGUCCUGACACUCAGGAGCGAAAGCGUGGGGAGCGAUCCGG
Molecule: ribosomal RNA, 253 nt
Filed under: uncultured bacterium
Lineage: Bacteria
Description: partial 16S ribosomal RNA
Rfam family: Bacterial small subunit ribosomal RNA
Source: RNAcentral